GUAGGGAAUCUUCCACAAUGGGCGCAAGCCUGAUGGAGCAACACCGCGUGAGUGAAGAAGGGUUUCGGCUCGUAAAGCUCUGUUGUUAAAGAAGAACACGUAUGAGAGUAACUGUUCAUACGUUGACGGUAUUUAACCAGAAAGUCACGGCUAUCUACGUGCCAGCAGCCGCGGUAAUACGUAGGUGGCAAGCGUUAUCCGGAUUUAUUGGGCGUAAAGAGAGUGCAGGCGGUUUUCUAAGUCUGAUGUGAAAGCCUUCGGCUUAACCGGAGAAGUGCAUCGGAAACUGGAUAACUUGAGUGCAGAAGAGGGUAGUGGAACUCCAUGUGUAGCGGUGGAAUGCGUAGAUAUAUGGAAGAACACCAGUGGCGAAGGCGGCUACCUGGUCUGCAACUGACGCUGAGACUCGAAAGCAUGGGUAGCGAACAGGAUUAGAUACCCCAGUAGUCC
Molecule: ribosomal RNA, 450 nt
Filed under: uncultured bacterium
Lineage: Bacteria
Description: partial 16S ribosomal RNA
Rfam family: Bacterial small subunit ribosomal RNA
Source: RNAcentral